This is a long non-coding RNA of Bos taurus (domestic cattle), 601 nucleotides long. NCBI's taxonomy places the organism in Eukaryota, Metazoa, Chordata, Mammalia, Artiodactyla, Bovidae. The record is from Ensembl.
UGGGGCUCUGACUUCAGGACACGUGGUCGCGCGGGUCGCUGCGCGGGAAGAUUGGAGGCGGCAGAGCUUGCGUCCAGGUCCAGUGGAACUGAGAGUGUGAACCUCCUGAGGCGUGAACAAGCACAGUGGACAGCUGCGUGUCAUGUCCAACUCUCUGACCCCGGACUGCAGCCCGCCAGGCACCCCUGUCCAUGGGAUUCUCCAGGCAAGAACCCUGGAGCGGGCUGCCAUGCCCUCCCUCCUCCAGGGGAUCUUCCCCACCCAGGGAUCGAACCUGCGUCUCCUGCAUUGCAGACAAAUUCUUUCCCGGCUGAGCCAUCAGGGAAGCCAGUGACACCCUGGACGGCAUUGUUCCAGCAUCCCGGUUUAUCCUCAUCACCUCGUGGCACUGCUUCCUUUGGCCAAGGUGGAAAAUCUUGUGAUUUAAAACUGUCUUGACUACAGAUGUGAAAGCGUGUCUUCUGAUUCCUGGUUCCUUCCUUUAAGUUGUCCAGUCUAGCCUUAAGCUAGGUAACUUUUUAAAACGCCCUGGAGAAGUGCCUUAUUCAGGCUGAGAGUAAUCUGGUAACAUUUUACCUCAUUUUCUAUUUGUUAUUCGUGG